This 492-nucleotide ribosomal RNA is filed under the name uncultured bacterium. Its description in RNAcentral is "partial 16S ribosomal RNA". It matches the Rfam family "Bacterial small subunit ribosomal RNA", at positions 29 to 507 of the family's 1533-position model. The record is from RNAcentral.
AGUGAACGCUGGCGGUAGGCCUAACACAUGCAAGUCGAACGGCAGCACAGUAAGAGCUUGCUCUUACGGGUGGCGAGUGGCGGACGGGUGAGGAAUACAUCGGAAUCUACUUUUUCGUGGGGGAUGACGUAGGGAAACUUACGCUAAUACCGCAUACGACCUACGGGUGAAAGCAGGGGAUCUUCGGACCUUGCGCGAUUGAAUGAGCCGAUGUCGGAUUAGCUAGUUGGCGGGGUAAAGGCCCACCAAGGCGACGAUCCGUAGCUGGUCUGAGUGGAUGAUCAGCCACACUGGAACUGAGACACGGUCCAGACUCCUACGGGAGGCAGCAGUGGGGAAUAUUGGACAAUGGGCGCAAGCCUGAUCCAGCCAUACCGCGUGGGUGAAGAAGGCCUUCGGGUUGUAAAGCCCUUUUGUUGGGAAAGAAAAGCAGCAGGUUAAUACCCCGCUGUUCUGACGGUACCCAAAGAAUAAGCACCGGCUAACUUCGUG